This 147-nucleotide ribosomal RNA is filed under the name Ochrophyta sp. Its description in RNAcentral is "partial small subunit ribosomal RNA". It matches the Rfam family "Eukaryotic small subunit ribosomal RNA", at positions 1297 to 1460 of the family's 1831-position model. The record is from RNAcentral.
GUUGGUGGAGUGAUUUGUCUGGUUAAUUCCGUUAACGAACGAGACCCCUGCCUGCUAAAUAGCCCGGUGAGUGAUUUUUCACUGAUUGAUGGCUUCUUAGAGGGACGUGCAUUCUAUUAGAUGCAGGAAGAUAGGGGCAAUAACAGG